This is a long non-coding RNA of Trachemys scripta elegans, 1786 nucleotides long. RefSeq lists it as uncharacterized. Lineage: Eukaryota; Metazoa; Chordata; Testudines; Emydidae. The record is from RefSeq and is a predicted model, not a curated record. The transcript has 4 exons.
GCUCCUUUGCAACUCGAGGAAAGUUAGAGGAGGAACUAUGAAACCCGAGGGGGAGGUGCUAGCCAGGCUGUCUUCAGCUCCUGAGCCAUAAAACAUUCCACUUGACUACAGUUCAGACUACAGAAAACAAGUGCAGCAGACACGUCUGUAAUGUCAAGCCGUGUGACAGAUGGCAGUGGAUCAGAUUCCAACAGCAAGCUAGACAGAUUCAUAGAAUGGCUGAUGCAGAAGCUCAGUUACAUCAGCGUGACAACCGGCCAUGAUGAGUACAUGAAGGAGAUUGGAGAGAGGCAGCAGAGGAACGAGGAUUUGAACCGCGAGAGAUUAGUGCAAUGUGAACCAGCCAUGGCAGACGCUUAAAAUAAUAUUAUUCUUUCCUACAGUUUAUACUGUAGUGUAUGUAGUAUAUUUUUGCUACUCUAUAUAGUGUUUCUCAUGCUUGGCCUCCUAUAGCAAAAGAAAAUUAGAAAGUGGGGAGUGAUUGGGGAGAUGGGGGCGGGCUGGGGAAGUGAUUUAGAAAGUGAUCCGAGCGCAUCUGAAAACAAAAAAAUCUUUAAAAUUGACUGAGCCAAACCUGGAAAGCCACACAAAACAGGAAGGGAAGGAAAAGAACAGACAAAAUAAAUAAGAAACAAGGGGGAAAAGAGAAACAGCAGCAUAAGGAAAAGAAAAUGAAUGAGAGACAGAGAAAGGGACUUUUUAAAGAGACCGAGGGGAAAGGGGAGGCCCAAAAGAGACAUUCAGAGUCACUUGGGGGUAUAGCACAGGGCGACAAGGAGCUGGAUAAUCGGGUGUCUGGACAGAGGGCAGGAGAUGAAGACAAUGGUGAAGGAAACACUAGGGCAGUAAUCACAGGGGAAAGGACACAAGCUGUGGGGACGGGGACAGUAUUCAUGGAGCGGGACACAUGGGCAGUAAUUUUAAAGCAGAAAGAAGCUAAUUAGGGUGACCAGAUGUCCCGAUUUUAUAGGGACAGUCCCAAUUUUGGGUCUUUUUCGUAUAUAGGCUCCUAUUACCCCCCACCUCCUGUCCCGAUUUUUCACAUUUGCUGUCUGGUCACCCUAAAGCUAAUGGAGGCAAUUCUCAUUUUACUUUGCCUUCCCAAUUAUAUAUAGUCACUGAGAAGAAACAGCUGCAGGAUCAUAAGUGUUUAUGGCAAAAAAAGUAACUAGGCAGAGCAGGCAGUGGUGGGUGUAGCUACAGUUGCUUGACACUUCUCACUAUGACACCUAGUUAAAGACUGCACCGUGAUGCACACACACAAGAGGCGGGCAAUUAAAGCUGCAGAGCAAGCUGAAGUCUGCCAUUUCCUAAUGUUUGAGUGCUCGAUAUGGAGCCAAAUGGCUUUGUGAAUGUAACGUGGGACAUAUACUAAAUCACUCCAAUGAGUUACAUAAAUAUUGUAAAGAACAUUAAAUGGGCAUCUUCUUUAUUGCAUCCCUAUGGCUGCCCCAACUACCCAGGCUGUGAACUGGAGGAAGCUCCAGCCUUCUGCUUUGGGAAGCAAUUUAACAGUGGUCUCAGGAAGGGCGUCCCACUGACCGAUCUCCAUGGCCAUGGCGGGCACUAGUGGAACUGUGCAUCCAGUUGGAGCCACUUUACAUCUUAGUCAGCCAUGGUCUGAUUGAAGCUUUCCCUGGCCAUUAUUUGGCAUGCACCACCGACCACUCAUGACUUAGGGACACAUAGCCCCGCGUGGAGCCGGGGAACUAAGCAAAUGUGGCCUAGAAGCAAUAUAGCAAAUAAAGCACUCGAAAGGCCUCAGAAGGCUUUGGUGAUGUGCACU